This 467-nucleotide ribosomal RNA is filed under the name uncultured bacterium. Its description in RNAcentral is "partial 16S ribosomal RNA". It matches the Rfam family "Bacterial small subunit ribosomal RNA", at positions 28 to 506 of the family's 1533-position model. The record is from RNAcentral.
GGCGAACGCUGGCGGCGUGCUUAACACAUGCAAGUCGAACGGAAAGGCCCUGCUUUUGUGGGGUGCUCGAGUGGCGAACGGGUGAGUAACACGUGAGUAACCUGCCCUUGACUUUGGGAUAACUUCAGGAAACUGGGGCUAAUACCGGAUAGGAGCUCCUGCUGCAUGGUGGGGGUUGGAAAGUUUCGGCGGUUGGGGUUGGACUCGCGGCUUAUCAGCUUGUUGGUGGGGUAGUGGAUUACCAAGGCUUUGACGGGUAGCCGGCCUGGGAGGGUGACCGGCCACAUUGGGCCUGGGAUGCGGCCCAUGCUCCUACGGGGGGCAGGAGUGGGGAAUAUUGCACAAUGGGCGGAGGCCUGAUGCAGCAACGCCGCGUGCGGGAGGACGGCCUUCGGGUUGUAAACCGCUUUCGCCUGUGACGAAGCGUGAGGGACGGUAAUGGGUAAAGAAGCACCGGCUAACUACGU